CCUGAAAAGACAUUAAGUGUAUAGCAAAGACUCCAGCUUGAGCUUCAGUUGUGCUUCAGGGAAAACGGUACUAGAAGAUAGCUACUGGAUUGCUUUAUUAUUACACAGUCUCCCAAACAACUUCUAUUUAAAGAAAAGGGAAGUGUUGAUUAUUCCUGGGCAAGAUGGCUGAAUAGGAGCAGCUCCAGUCUGCAGCUUCCAACGAGACCAACG
This 213-nucleotide long non-coding RNA is filed under the name Homo sapiens (human). RNAcentral describes it as "HSALNT0408234". The record is from RNAcentral. Lineage: Eukaryota; Metazoa; Chordata; Mammalia; Primates; Hominidae.